Molecule: ribosomal RNA, 497 nt
Filed under: uncultured bacterium
Lineage: Bacteria
Description: partial 16S ribosomal RNA
Rfam family: Bacterial small subunit ribosomal RNA
Source: RNAcentral
GAUGAACGCUGGCGGCGUGCCUAAUACAUGCAAGUCGAACGAACGGACCCGGAGCUUGCUUUUCUGAUGUUAGCGGCGGACGGGUGAGUAACACGUGGAUAACCUACCUAUAAGACUGGGAUAACUUCGGGAAACCGGAGCUAAUACCGGAUAAUAUUUUGAACCGCAUGGUUCAAAAGGGAAAGACGGUCUUACCGUCUCUUAUAGAUUGAUCCCCGCUGCAUUAGCUAGUUGGUGAGGUAACGGCUUACCAAGGCACCGAUGCAUAGCCGACCUGAGAGGGUGAUCGGCCACACUGGAACUGAGACACGGCCCAAACUCCUACGGGAGGCAGCAGUAGGGAAUCUUCCGCAAAGGGCGAAAGCCUGACGGAGCAACGCCGCGUGAGUGAUGAAGGUCUUCGGAUCGUAAAACUCUGUUAUUAGGGAAGAACAAAUGUGUAAGUAACUGUGAACAUCUUGACGGUACCUAAUCAGAAAGCCACGGCUAACUACGUG